This 977-nucleotide non-coding RNA is filed under the name Trionyx triunguis (African softshell turtle). RNAcentral's name for it is "12S rRNA". It matches the Rfam family "Bacterial small subunit ribosomal RNA". Lineage: Eukaryota; Metazoa; Chordata; Testudines; Trionychidae. The record is from RNAcentral.
CAAAGAUUUGGUCCUAAUCUUAAUGUUACUUCUUACUAAACCUACACAUGUAAGUAUCAGCAAACCAGUGAAAAUGCCCCAAAAGUCACACCAGACAAUAGGAGCCGGUAUCAGGCACGCCAUGACAGCCCAAAACGCCUUGCUUCGCCACACCCCCAAGGGUACUACAACAGUGAUUAACCUUAAGCAAUAAGCCCAAGCUUGACUUAGUUAUAGUAAAUCUAAACCACAGGGCUGGUAAAUCUCGUGCCAGCCACCGCGGUUAUACAAGAAGCCCAAAGCAACAACAACACGGCGUAAAAUGUGGUUAAACCAUAAUACCUAAUAAACCUAAAGCCAACCCAACACCAAACUGUCAUACGUAAAGUAUUAGUCAACCCAAUACCAAAAAUAGCUUUAGUACAACAGACAACUUGAACCCACGAUCGUUAAGACACAAACUGGGAUUAGAUACCCCACUAUGCUUAACCCUAAACCUAGAUACUUCAAAUACAAAAACAUCCGCCAGAAAACUACGAGCAAAACGCUUAAAACUCCAAGGACUUGGCGGUAUCUCAAAUCCCCCUAGAGGAGCCUGUUCUAUAAUCGAUAAUCCCCGCUAAACCUCACCAUCUUUUGCCAACACAGCCUAUAUACCACCGUCACAGCCUACCUUAUGAGAGCCAUAAAAGUAAGCCCAACAGCUCAAACAGCUAACAAGUCAGGUCAAGGUGUAGCUAACUAAGGUGGAAGAAAUGGGCUACAUUUUCUACAAUAGAAAUCACCACAGAAUAGACUCAUGAAAUACGAUCUAAAUUAAAGCAGGAUUUAGUAGUAAACUGAGAAUAGAGAGCUCAAUUUAAAACGGACCUGAGAUACGCACACACCGCCCGUCACCCCCAUCAAUAUAUGCCCGACCAGCUAAAUAAACACCCAACAAACAAACAGAUGGGGUAAGUCGUAACAAGGUAAGUGUACCGGAAGGUGUACUUGGAUUA